Molecule: transfer RNA, 73 nt
Filed under: Malassezia sympodialis ATCC 42132
Lineage: Eukaryota; Fungi; Basidiomycota; Malasseziomycetes; Malasseziales; Malasseziaceae
Description: tRNA-Phe (GAA) (tRNA-Phe-GAA-1-1, tRNA-Phe-GAA-1-2)
Rfam family: tRNA
About the family: Transfer RNA (tRNA) molecules are approximately 80 nucleotides in length. Their secondary structure includes four short double-helical elements and three loops (D, anti-codon, and T loops). Further hydrogen bonds mediate the characteristic L-shaped molecular structure. tRNAs have two regions of fundamental functional importance: the anti-codon, which is responsible for specific mRNA codon recognition, and the 3' end, to which the tRNAs corresponding amino acid is attached (by aminoacyl-tRNA synthetases). tRNAs cope with the degeneracy of the genetic code in two manners: having more than one tRNA (with a specific anti-codon) for a particular amino acid; and 'wobble' base-pairing, i.e. permitting non-standard base-pairing at the 3rd anti-codon position.
Source: RNAcentral
GCUCUCAUAGCUCAGCUGGAAGAGCGCAAGACUGAAGUUCUUGAGGCCACCUGUUCGAACCAGGUUGGGAGCA